UUCCUUACAGAUAUGAGGGAACAGCAAACCUCAAUCGAAAUAAUUUCCCGCCAGAAGUCACGUCCAAAUACUGUGAGACUGAGGACUAUAGGACUGACUAUG
Long non-coding RNA from Myotis brandtii (Brandt's bat), 102 nucleotides. RefSeq lists it as uncharacterized. The record is from RefSeq and is a predicted model, not a curated record. The transcript has 3 exons. NCBI's taxonomy places the organism in Eukaryota, Metazoa, Chordata, Mammalia, Chiroptera, Vespertilionidae.